UGGGAAUUGUGAACUAAAUGUCACGCAUUGUGUGCAAAUUACAGUGACCAAGUCAAGACCCAACUGGGGCAGUCUGGCCAAACCCUGUGCUCUUAAUCCCCUGCCACUGACAAUGCUUUCUGAUAACGUUCUGCUGGGAUCCUAGAGCAAACUUGGUGGGGAUGACAACAGCAGGAGUAUGCCUGAGGUAUUAUGAGCAGCAUCUUCGUUAACCCCUCAGUAACCCAUUCAUACUGUUAGUGCAUGUUUAUUCCUGAGCUUGAUGCACAGUGAGGCCGGACAAAGGGAAACAUCAGUUUGGAGCAGAGAAAGUUUUGUUGCUGGUCCAUGCAAGGAGAUGGGUGGCUCAUAUCCUAAGAAGUCCUGAGCUCCCUGGAGGGUUUCCACAAAGCAUUUUUAAAAGCAAGAAGCUCCCUCAACAGAAGACAAGAGUGAGACACAAAGGCAAAGCAACCAGGCAGUCACGGAAAUAUUUAAGGUCACAAGGUGAACAAGUCUCAAAGCCAAGAAAAGAAUUCCAAAGAAGUCAUCUGAAAGAAACAAUGGAUUAUGUCUUCUGCAAACAAUGUUCCCAACGGAAAAACUCACGUUGGGCAAUCUCCUUGUA
Non-coding RNA from Odocoileus virginianus texanus, 607 nucleotides. NCBI's taxonomy places the organism in Eukaryota, Metazoa, Chordata, Mammalia, Artiodactyla, Cervidae. The record is from RefSeq and is a predicted model, not a curated record.